Molecule: long non-coding RNA, 602 nt
Organism: Salvia miltiorrhiza (redroot sage)
Lineage: Eukaryota; Viridiplantae; Streptophyta; Magnoliopsida; Lamiales; Lamiaceae
Exons: 3
Source: RefSeq, a predicted model, not a curated record
UCAGCCACCCUACACCUAUUCAAGCAGCCCAAAAUUCAGGCUUGUUGCCAUGCUUGGCAAGACAAUAAAAUGCCCCAAACUUAUCUGUCAAUUUAACUACUCCCAAUUCAAUCAAGACCUUUCCUUCACCACCCCACACAACUGAAAUAGAGAGCAACCAUUCCCCUCACUAAUCCAACAGCAACACACCUCAAAUUUCAGCAAACUCAAAUAAAAAAUUCUUGAAGAUCACACGAAGCUUUCAGCUUGAGGGCUUUCCCCACUAAACAUUCAAAGGCUUUGAGCGUCAGGAGGAUUAGCACUGCUAUUCCGAUUCAGAGAUAACGUUAAACGACAAGCAUUGCCUAUACAGGUUAAUGACUGGUGAUGACGGGGCAGAGCUGAGGCUAGAGUUCAACUCCUUAUUUUGACUUCCGCUGUAGAACUAGCCAGUAUCUGUCUUUUGUUCUUUAACUUAAGACCUAUUAUGUUGUGACUCUAAACAAUAUCUUUUGUUGAGCCUAGACCAUUGACUCUCAAGUAUUUCGAUCAGUGAAUGUUGGUUAUCUGAAGCAUGACACUAAACUUGUGAUCCUGAAGUUAUUAUGUUGUUGAAGGAUUUG